CACCAAAACAGUGAUCAAGCUUACUAAGUAUCUGCUAAUGCGAAUUUGUCACAAAAAAAAAACUCAAGUAAAGAAAUCAAACAUAAAUCCAUAAAUAUCCAACUUAUUCCUAAAACAAACUAUUAUGACAAAAUCCAAGCUAUCAAACAGAUUGAUACAAAAUUUAGCUAAGUAAGAUGAAGUCAACAAAGUGUCUUCACAACAUCAUUUGCCAAAAACUUUCACAAUGAAAACUAAUGCAAACCCAACAGUAAUAAUACAAAAUAAAAUAAAUCUCAUACCAAAGCUAAAAGAAAACUUUUUAAAAAAUGCAUACUGUGCACCUUAAAUUGCUACCUGAACAACAUAUACCUUAGAAAUUCAAAACAUUUCUAUGAAAAUCUUUUUAGUACAAGCAACAAAUAAAUAUAUGUAUCGAUAUGAGAUGCCGAGAAGUUCAUUUUUAGGCUACAACAAUUUUCAUUUCUCAAAGAAAUUCAAAAUCGAUGCACCUUUAUCGAGCAUGAUCUCCAAAUAAUCCAUACAUCAAACUCAAGCAGUGAAUACAACAAACAAUGUGAAGAGGUGUAACAAGUCACUAAUUAUAACACUUGAAAUCUGGAAGAAAAUUACUACUUAAAAAAAUGGCAAAACGGAACACACAUCAUCAGGAAAGAAAGAACGAAAAGCAAGAACAAGAGUAUUACCUUUUCUUGAGCAGUGACUCCGGGACUCGAGACUCCGAAGACGAUUCCACCACCACCCUUGAACUCCGGCGAGCUCCGAGAAAAAGCUCGGAAGAACAAAAAAUAAAAUUAAAAACUAGGGGUCAAAGUUUUGUGGAUUCGGUGUUAUAAGAAUAAUGUUCUUUUGACUAAAAUCGUCCUCCCUCCUCUAUGUUUUCCAAUAUUUCUUCCAACCCUGAUCAAAGAGAAAGAGGGGUAUUUAUAGGGGAUUAACUAGGUUAAAUAUGGGGGGAAAUCAGGCAGAAAUUCCAAUUCAAAAUUCAAAUUCAAAUUCCUUUUUCACUGGAUAAAACUGAUAAGCUGUCAAUAGUACCAGUUCAAACGGUAAAUUGAAAGGAGCCGUCUGAUUGUGAGAGAAGGACGGACAAGGCUAGGAGAUCUCUCCACCUGGCUUGGUUUGAGAAUAUUAUGUACGAGAGGAUAAAAAGAGAGGGAGAGAGCACGCGCUGGGCUGCUGCUCGCGAUUUGCUGGGCUAUUCCGAGUUUCUGGGUUUUGGAAUUUUUUGGUUACUGGGUUGUUCGCGAGGAAGAAGAGAGACUCAGGGGUCGGCAUGUGUUGCUAUACGUAUUGUUGGUAUGGGUAUUGAAAUGGGUUUAUGUAUGGAGAAUGGACUGUUUUGGUAUGUUGUGUGUAUUGUUGUUUGUGUUGUAUUGGUGGGCUAGGAUUUAAUUUGAGAAAGAGAGAAGUAGGCUGGAAAAAUGAAAAAGACCCAAAAAUGGGUCUUACAAAGAGUUGGAAUAAAUUGUUUAUGUGUGGCUAAAAUUGUAAUUAAAUAAUAGCCCAAAUAAAUUUCAAUUGUAACAAAAUCGAACUCAAUCAAUGAAUUUGGUCAAAACUUAAACAAGACGAAUUAAUAUAAAUUAAUUAACGAGCUUCUUAUUUUUUAACAAAAUAAAAUAAUUAACCUAAGUAUAAACUAAAUAAUUUAAAAUAUAAACUAUUAUAUAACUAAACUAAUUAACCAAAUAUUUAAUUACAACAAAAUCUUUUUGAGAUGAUUUUUGAAUAAUCAUAAAAUAUAGUAAUUAUAUAUAUAAUUAUGUAAAACAUAUAUAUUAUCUAAAAAUUAUAAAAAGUGACAAAACUAUUUAAAAUAACUUGCAAACUAUAUUAUUAUUAUUUUUGUUGAAAAUUUUAUAAAACUAAUUAUUUUAAAUCAUUUGGAAUUUAAGAAGCUCGACGAUUAAUUUAUAUUGUAGAGGUCCAAAAUUGGGUGUCAAUAACUGUCCCUCGUUUGACUUGGAUUGAUGGAAGAAAUUCGAGGCAAAUGAAAUUGACGAAUCCAAUUUUGACCGACCACAUCUUCAUCCUUCUGAAAAAUGGCUUUGGUACGGACUUUAGAAAUUAUGGCCGAACCCCGAAAAUGGGUUUUCCUACAUAUCUCAGGCUAUAUGAAAAUUCAGGCCACUUGUAGUUCGAUACACUCGAUUUGACGCACAAUUUUGAAAAACUCAAAACUCAUCCCGAUAUCAGAUUAUGAAGAGACCGAAAUGCUCGCAAUAAGAUUUAAGAGCGGAUGUUGGAAUACAACCGAGUUUUGAAGACUGAGCUCACCUAUAUAUCCUUAAACAUUAGGAAUCAGGCUACCUGUAGUUCAACUUGAUCGGUAGAAAAGAAAAUCUAUUAUGCAAGAUAACCUUUGGCUCUGAAAGAGUGACAAAAUAAGUCGAGUAUGAAAAUGAGGCUUGCAACCUCUUAGCCAUGAAUGCGGAGCUCUUCACAUCCAUAAGUAAGAACUUACACAGACAUAAUUUACAAAGCUCUUAGUGCAUUUUCACUCGGAUUGGAAAGUUGCUCCCGGCGAAAACAAAUUUUUUUCGGAUGCAAAACUGAGACCGAUAAACCUAAAGAAAAACCCGAAUGCCUUCUGAUAGGGGUGUGGUUUGAUUGUGGUGGAAGUCGCUCCUCAACUCCCGUCCUAAGAGUUUGAUACUCCUCUUUGGACUAUGUCCAGUUCGCUACUAAGAAAAAGUUCCACGUUGUGCUGCAUCCUUAUUGAUGUCGUCCGCACCUGUGGUUUGAUUUGAGAAUUCAUCCUCUUGGAUGCUCUCGACAAAGACUGAAAUAAACUUGUUAGUAGAAACUGUAAUUGGAAAAAAUGCUAGCAUCUCCUACGAUGCUUUUCAAUUACUCUUGCUUUGAAAGACGUCGUAUAGAUAUGUUUAGUAUAUGUCUGCACACUCAAAGUAAACAAUUAGUAAAGAAAGAUCAUUCAUGUAAUAAAAGAGUAUAUCUUUAUGGAUAAGCAUAAACAUCUUUUCAACUAGAUGAGAAAACUUUCAUAGGGAACGAACAAAUAAAUUGAAUAGUAUAACCACUCAUCUCAUAAUUAUCAAAUAACAGAUUGUGCCAGAAAUCUUUUCUUAACUCUUACUCCCAAUACAAGAAAGCAGAUUAAGAAGACAAAAUUUGGGUAUCUGCAAAAUCAUCAUAUAUUCAUCUAUAUCUAUAUCUAUAUCUAUCUAUCUAUCUAUACUACCUUAAAAGCAUGAACUCCUAACUUGAAUGUUAUAUUACUAUAAUAUCCCUAACUUAGGUUGUGACUUUUUCGAUGAGUUGUGACUUUUUUGAUAAGUUAUGACUUUUUCAAAGGGUUGUGAUUUUUCAAUGAGUUGUGAAUUUUCCAAAGUGUUGUAACUUUUUCAAUAAGUUGUGACUUUUCGAAAGGGUUGUGACUUCUCGGAAUGGUCGUGACUUUUAAGAUAAGACACAAAAAAUAAUUGUUCAUACUACCCUUUAUUGACUAUAAAGAGAGGGAUUUCCUCUCAGUUUUCAACCACAAGUUUUUUUAAUCUACUACUCUUCUUCUUCUUGCAUUUUAAAAUUUUUUGUGCGAUUAUUGUCGUUGAUUGAGUUCAAAGUUUAGCAGAAUAUGAGGUACCACUAUUCUGAUGAAGUAAAUUGUUCUAUCCUAACACGGUAUAUUCCUUAACCUCGGGUACUUGCGGAAAAUAAUUUUGAUGAUAUGAUAAUUAAUUUUUUGCUUAGUGUAUACAUUAGUAUGUAAUGUUCCAAUUUAUGAGGUUAACGUGAUAUAGUCUAAAUUCAUUUGUUUUUGUUAACAAUUUCUCUUGUGAUAUAGAUAUAUGCUUCUGAAUAUCUUUUUCAGAAAUUAUUAAACUUCUCAAGAGUUAGAGAAUUGUCAAGAUUUAUUUUUUUGAUGCUCAAGGCAAAAUAAUGACUUUAUUUAUCAAUACUAUUUAUGUGAUUUAGUGUAACGACUUGUUCCUGUCGUUAUAGAAAAGCCAACGGGGGAAAUUUGGAUUUUCCCAACCUAGUCCAGAUUUGGACGAAAUUAGAGUCUUUGAGGUGUAGGAAAAUCUGGUAACAAUCGGAUGAAUCAUUUAUGAUUUUGAUUGCAUGAGUGGUUAGAUAACUCGUUAAGGAAUCCCUAUGACUUUAUGGAAUUGAAUUCGGGCGAGUAGAAUUUUUGAAAUUGAUCUUAGCGUAAGGGGUAUUUUCUGAGUGUCGUGGGUUAGAGGUGUGCUGUGAAAUUGGGAUUUUGGAAUUCUUUAAUUAGAUCACUUUCUCACGUAACCCGCUUUCGCGCUGGGUUUUGCCACUCUGGAGGGCCCGCUACAGCCGGGUGACGGCUGCUGUGGCGGGCUCGACGCGACUUAAGGUCGUUAAUAAACCCCUAAACAACCUUAUUUGGCACUUUUCGAUUUUUAGAGCUAAGGAACGAACCCCAGGUGACUCCUACUCGUUUUUCACCAUUCUUGAGGCUUAAGGAAAGCUUUUCACUCCCCAAAUUUGAUUUUCGAUCCGUAGAACAUAAUAGAAUGGGUGAAUAUUGAUGGGGGAGGGUUUUGCAAUAGAUUCUAUGGUGGAAACAACUUAAAUUUGGAUAAUUGGGAUCAUGGGUUUGAUCUAGGGUUCAUAUAAUUGUUAGUUAUUCGAGUAAUUAGUGAUUGUUUAUUGAUUCCCAUAUUAUAUUGAUUGUUUAUAGACCAAGAACUAGCGGAACGAAUCCGAAAAGGGAAGGAUCAAGUUUCUUAGGGUUUCAAGCUUGUUUCGAGGUAGGUGAUAGUUGUGAUUCUAUGAUUGUGUGAUGUAUGGUUGUUCUUGCUUCACUAUGAUACUUGUAUAUGUAUGAAUGUUGCAAUGUUGAUCAUAUUUGUUGUAAAUGAGAUAGAUGAAUGAUGAUUGUCAUGAAAUCAUGACUUAAAUAUAUGAUCUUGAUGAUAUACUUGUAUAUUGUUAUUAUGGUGUGUUGAAUAGAUUGGUUGCCAUGUUCCGGCUUAACUAACUUGGAUCGGUUGCCACGUUCCGACAUAACUAUGGGAUCGGUUUUCACGUUCGGCAUAAUUAUGGGAUCAGAUACCAUGUUUCGGUAUGCUAACUGUUUGGGUUUAGGUUCCAUGAGAGGACCAAUGAUUUGAUAUAAAAAGUGAAGUUGUUCGUUGUUCGUAAUUGUUGAUAAUAUUAUAUAUAUAUUGAUAUAUAUGCAUGUGAUUCUAAUGUUUUCUUGACUUGCUUAUGUUGCACUUAGUGGGAUAGCCGUGUGAUCCUACCAGUACACUGUGAUUGUGUACUGAUACUGCACUUGCUCUUAUUUUAUUAAGUACAGGGCAUCUUCAAGCGGCUACUAACAGACCUUGCUUAGGAAAUCAACGAUCAUUGUUUGAAUUUAAGGGUGAGCUAAUUCUUCCGGGCUUCCAUGGUUUCUCUUUCGUCUUUGUCCAACAUUUCCAGACUUAGACUAUUUUCUAGUUAGUUAUUAGUUCAUUAGUAGGGGUUGUAAUCCUUCUUGUUUAGACUUGAUUCAUUGUUAGAUGUUUUGGUACAUUGACUUUCAGGUUCUAGGCAUUACUUCCGCAUUGUUAGUUUAUUUUUGUUUGACUUUUGUUGGAGUUUAUGGGAACUCCUUAUUUAUUUCCUUAGUAUUUAACUUGCUUCCAUAACUUAAAUGCCUUAGUUUUGGUUUAGUUGCUGGGUUUGAGUUGUAGUAGUGGUUCUCCCACCGGAGGGUUAGUGUGGGUGUCAAUCACAACGGUCUAGGUCGUGACAUUUAGAUUGUCAGAAAGUUUGCUUCAAAAUAGUUAUUACUAUAUAAACAUUGCCCUUUUGUUUUACUGAUUUACUAUUUCUUAAUAUUUAAGAUUUUCGACGAAGAAAAGUUUAUAUGACUUGUAAUAACGCCAGUUGAAGAUUGUAUUAGUUUAAUAUUUAUUGUAGUCUAAAUUCAUUUGUUUUUGUUAACAAUUUCUCUUGUGAUGUAGAUAUAUCUUUCUGAAUAUCUUUUUCCAAAAUUAUUAAACGUCUCAAGAGUUAGAGAAUUGCCACGAUUUGUAUUUUUGGAAGCCCAAGACAAAAAAGAUGAAUUUAUUUAUCAAUGCUACUUAUGUGAUUUAGAUUGUCAGAAAGUUUGCUUCAAAAUAGUUAUUACUAUAUAAACAUUGCCCUUUUGUUUUACUGAUUUACUAUUUGUUAAUAUUUCAGUAUUUUCAAAGAAGAAAACUUCAUAUGACUUGUAAUAACACCACUGGAAGUUUCUAUUUGUUUUCUUUUAUUGUAGUCUAAAUUCAUUUACUUUUGUUAACAACUUCUCUUGUGAUGUAGAUAUAUGUUUCUCAAUAUCUUUUUCCAAAAUUAUUAAACUUCUUAAGAGUUCGAGAUGUAUCACGAUUUGUUUUUUUGAUGCUCAAGACAAAAGAAUGACUUUAUUUAUCAAUGCUACUUAUGUGAUUUAGUUUAUCCGAAUGUUUCUUAAAAAUAAUUAUUACUAUGUAGACAUUGCCCUUUUGUUUUACUAAUUUACUAUUUCUUAAUAUUUCAGUAUUUUCGAUGAAGAAAAGUUCAGAUGACUUCUUAUAACGCUCAUCUAUUGCACAUUAAUUCUUUUGUUCUAACAUUAUAAAUUCUUUUAGUUAUUACUAACUAUCGCAAAUGUUAUUCACACUUUUUCACAUUUUUAGUUAAAAUAUUAUCAAUUCUCAUAGUUAUCACAUUAAUUAUUUUUAUCUUUCAUCUUUCCUUAUAUUGACUUUUGACCAAUAAUUUUUCAUAUUAUUAUACAGCCCCUAUAUAUGUGAUAACAUGGUGUUGUUAUUUUUCCUUGGACGAAUCAUGCUUGGUUGAAUAAAUUGAAAAUUGUUUACAAGUAUAUGAACUAUAUCUUUGUUGGGUGUAAGAUAAAUAGGUGAUUAUAUAUAUGAUUUCACAGAUAGAAUAUAUUCUUUAAUUUUAAUUUUUAGUUUUUACGGUAAAAAAAAAUGAAACCUUUCUCAGUUAACUAUGGACAGCCAGAUAACUAUCUUUGAUUUAUGUGCACAGACAAUAGAGAAGUCAGAUAUGAGAGCCAACAAAAAGAAGUCAUUUAUUAUGUUAUAACAUAUAAAAUAAAAAUUAAUAUACAAAAAUAGUUCUAAAAAAUGAAAUGUACUUGGUCUCCACAUGUUCAUAUGACAUCUGAAUAGAUUAAGUGGAAUACACGUGAAAAGCACAUCUUGUUAGAUGACAAAAAAAAUACACAACAAAUAUCGUCUAUAAGGUAAUAUUAGUGAGACAUGACUAAUUACAUAAUUGUACCUUAUCAAAUUGAAAUAAAUAUAUACAUUAUUGCAUUUAACUAACAAAUUUUUCGUAGACCAUCUUCAUAGAUUCGUGUGAAUAAGAGAUAUAUAUGACGAUCCACGUUGAACAUUCAAAAAAUUCUGCAAUAUUAUUUUUUGUAAAGCUUAUUAUUCAAAUUUCCGCUUAAAUUUUCUGAAUUGAUAAUCACGUGCAACACAUGUGUCGAAAAUCUAGUACUCCAUAUAUAUCAACUUAUUGGUCCAAAUUCUUAAAUCGUUUACACAAUUUUCAGCCAAACUUUCUUGCUAAUACAAGUAUAGAAAAGCAGACAAAAAAUUGAGAAUCUAGAUAUUCCAAUCACAUGUACGAAAGAAAAAAUACAGGCCUAAUUCUUGAAUAAUGAACCUUAGAAAAUAAUUUGAAAAUAAACCUUGAUAAUAAACUAUGAUGCCGAUAUAACCCAAUUCCAUCACCAACACCCAAUCCACGAUCCUUGAUAAAUUUCACAAUGGAUAGAGAAUAGUCAUUACUACUCAUAAUAUCAAUACGAUGAAUUCCAUUUUCAAGAAAAUCAUGAAUCUGCUUGCUGCAUUUAGUGCAGUCACUAGCCCAGAAAACAACAAAAUGGACACUGUCUUUUUUAUGUUACCGUGCAUAUUCUAUUAGAUGAACAAAGGAGAACUACAUUGACUAAUGCUAAUGUAGACACUUGGUUACUAGAAUCUAAGUACAAUAUAAAUUCAAAUCAGCAAAAUUGAGGUGUGAAGACGAUCAAUGAUAUCGGCGAAUUCAAGUAAAUAUGCAGAAAAAGGAUGGACUAAAAAAGAAUGUGCUUUAUUUAAGACCUUUCAAGAUCAAACAACUUGAGUUUUCACAGGAAUUAAACUCUUUUUCCCUUAUUUAAGGUAUGGACUCUGCUAUUAUGGAUAUUUAUUUUGCUCUACUUACAUUUCAAGAGUUGAAGUUACCUUUCUUUUGCUAUCCUUCUUUCGCUCUAGACAUUAGCUAGGAUUUUCAAAAACAGUUGAGCAGCGAGCAGCUUUGAUUAUGCAAAAAAAUGGAAACAAAGACUUGAAUGAAUGUAGCAUUAUUCUUGCGCUAAUGCAAAAGCUUUAAGUCAGAUGAUUGAAAGAGUUUAGACCCUAUAUUGUUACAAAAUUAGUUUUCUUAACUUAAUACAUCUUUGUUCAAUUUAGAAAUCACAUUCCUUUAUUCAAACAUGCCCUAAUACUUUGUACUCUUAUUUUCUAUAGAUAUCUUAUUUACUGGACAGUACUGUACGAAAUCCAUCAAUUUAAAGAUUUUGCUAUGAUGAUUAAAGGGUAAUCUUGUACCAUUGAGGGUGUGCCAAAAUGAGGUCCUUAAUUAGGUCAUGUUAGAUCCUUAUUUCGAGGAAUAUUUUGUGAGUAUAUCAACUAUUUCUCACAUUAAGCUUAUUUCUAGGUUGACAAAGAACAUCACAACUAUCUAAACUAUUACACAAACUUAAAAGAACAUUAUAAUAAUAGGGAAUGAAAACACAAGUACAAAAAGGUAAUUGCGCAGACUAAAUUGGGAACUUCAAGAAUUCCAAUUUCAUAAUUAUGUCUUCAGCUAUUACAAUUAUAUGAAAGAGUAAUACUAAACCAAAGACUAUGAUAUUAUGUUGUUUUUUGUCCUAAAUUAUUGGACAUUUCCACUAAGAGCCAACCUGAGAAAGCAAUUUGAAUACUAAACAGGAAAAUCUAGGAUCCCGAUAAAGCCCAAUUUCAUCACUAUCGCCCAAUCAGUGAUCCUUGAACAAUUCGAUGCACCAAAGAGCAAAAUCAUCAAUGUACACCUUCCUUACCCAAACACUUCAACCUUCAUACUUCUUAGGGGCAUUCCACUCAGUUAGAUCCCACAUGUCAACACACACACUGCAGCCGUUCUCCAAAAUUUUGGCCAUGUCCGAAGUCAAGUAUCGAAGGAUGUACUCAAACAUCUCAAAAAAUGGAAUCAUCAGCAUUCCAACAACGAUCUCGUCAUGGGUAAUCUUUUUCUUAAUCUGCCAUGGGUUUUAGAGAUCUAUUUUUGGGGCACGGUACAAGUCCCUUAUCUCCACUAGUUCUCGAGUCACUACAUGUGGAGUGUUGUUGACUUUGCAAGCUUCUUCUUCAACUUUUGAUGGAAAGAAAUUGUAAAAGAAGGUCUUCGUCAUGCUAAGCAAAGGCCUUUGAUCAGACAUCGAAGAAAUCAAGGAAGGAUACAAUUUUUCCGAAAAUAAAACACUGAAAAAGUGAGAGGAAGUAACACCUUAUAAAGACACAAAUUAGGUUUUCUAUUCCAACUUUGAGCGGGAAUCAGAGAAAAUUAUUAGUAUUUUUAAAUUUUAAACUUAUUUCAGAGAAGACUUAUAAAAUAGGAAAAAUGUGUCAUUUUGGCAUUUAAAUUCCGGAUAAUAAUUCCAAGAUUGUUAUCUUAUGUGAAGUGUGGAUAAAAAUAUGAGUUUAACUAAUAUCCAUCGAUGGUGUAGAAUUUUUUACACGGUCAAGUAACUAAAUGGGAAAAUCCAACUUUUGAUCCUGAUUGUUGAAUCAUUUGCACAAGUAUCAGCGGAUCUUUUCUUGCAAAUACAAGUACAGAAAAACAGACAAAAUUUGAGAAUCCACAUAUUCCAAUCAUAGGCCUAAUUUAUUAAUCACUAACCUUAGAAAAUAAUUUGAAAAUUAACUUUGAUCAAUUUCACAAUGGAUAGAGAAUAGUCAUCAGUACUCAACUUCCUAAAUGGAAUCCGCAACUUCCAAAAGUAAGUUCUUCCUGGGUAAUCUUUUUCCUGAUGUGCCUCGCGGUAUUCAGAUUGAAUAUCAGAGGAGGGCCUAUCUCUAUUAGCUCUCGAGUCUUUACUCAUGUUGUGUGGUUAACUUUGUAGGCUUCUUCUUUCACGUUUGAUGGAAUGAAACCGGUGAGAGUAUAUAUUUGUGGGUCAUUAUUUUGAUAAACGGCUAGUUAUGUCAUUUUUUCUUAUUUAUUUGAGUGAUUUAGAAAAUAGAUUACCAUCUACGUUUUGUCCUUAUGUGAACUUUGCCCAAAAUGUAACCCUUGAGAAAUUAUCCUCCCAGAUAAUAUUGGAUUGUCUAUAGUGUCUGCUCAUAUAUUUCUAAACCUUAGAUACAACAUAAUAUGCUAUUGUCUGAUGUUUGCAAUAACUUACAUAAUUUUAGAUCGUAGUCAGACAUUUCUCAUACGAUUAUCAGGUUACUCGAAUGGGAUCAUUAGACUGUUUCCUGAAAGGUACGUAAAACAUGUAAGAGAUUUUUUUUAAAAGGUCAUUAAUUAAAGAAAAAAGGAUCAAAUUUGACAUCGAACUUCAGAAAAUUUCACAAGUUGUCCCCCAAAUAUAGUGGUCUUGAUUUUUUUUUCCCCAUAAGAAAGUCUUUCAAGGAAUGGUCUGACACCAAGGGGUGUGAUGUAAAUAGUCUACCCUAGUGCAAAAAUUAGUGACUUCUUCAUUGCUCAAACCGGUGACAUAUAAGUCAAACAUUGUAACGACCUGUUCUCAUAGUUAUAGAAAAGUCAACGGGGGAAAAUUUUGGGCCAAAAAUCUUUUUCGUAGUAACUCGAGAUUUCCCAACCUAGUCCAGAUUUGGAAAAAAUCAGAGUCUGUGAGGUCAAGGGAAUUAUGGUAGCAGUUGGGUGGUCUAAUUAUGAAUUUUAUUACAUGAGUGGUUAGAUAAAUCGUUAAGGAAUCAGUACGACUUUACAAAAUUGAAUUCAGGUGAAUAGAACUCCCAAAAUCGAUCUUACUGUGAACGGUAUUUUCUAAUCAUCGUUGGUUAAAGGUGUGUUGUGAAAUGGGGGUCUUGGAAUUAUCAAAAUAGCUCACUAUUUCAUGCAAGCCGCUUUGGCGGUGGUUUUGGUCGCUCUGGCGGGGCGGCUGUAGCGGGGUGGGUGUCGCAGUGGCGGGCCAGACGCGACUUAAGGUCGUAAAUAAACCCCAAAAUGACUUUACUCUGCACUUUUCAGUUUUUAGAGCUAAGGAAUGAACCCCAGGCGAUUCUUGAUAGCUUUCCACCAUUCUUGAGGCUAAAGGUAAGAUUUUAACUCCCCAAAUAUAUUUUUCGAUCCGUAGAACGUAAUCUAAUAGGUAAAUAUUGAUGUGGGAGGGUUUUGAUCUAGAAUCUAUAAUGGAAACAACCCUAAUUGGGAGAUUAAGAUCAUGAGUUUGUUCUAGGGUUCAUAUAAUUGUUAGUAAUUCGGGUAAUUAGUGAUUGUUUAUUGAUUCCCGUAUUAUAUUGAUUAUUUGUAGACCAAGAACAAGAAGACCAAAUCUGGAAAGGGAAGGAUCAAGUUUCUUAGGGUUGCAAGAUUGUUUCGAGGUAGGUGAUGGUUGUGAUUCUAUGAUUGUGUGAUGUAUGUUUGUUCUUGCUUCAUUAUGAUUCAUGUUUGUAUGCGAAUGUUGCAUUAUUGAUCACAUUAAUUGUAAAUGAGGAUAUAUGAAUGAUGAAUGCCAUGAAUUAUGACUUGAUUCUAUGAUUAUGAGAAUGUACUUUGUGAAUGUGGUUGUGGCUUGUUGAAUGGAUCGGGUGUUGCGUUCUGACACACUAACUUGGAUCGGUUUUCACAUUAUGGUAUAAUUAUGGGAUCGGUUGCCACGUUUCGGUAUAAUCAUUGGAUCGGGUACCACAUUCCGGUAUGCUAACAAUAUGUGUUUGGAUUCCAUGAGAGGACCAAUAAUUUGGUAUAAUCGUGUAUCUUGAGAAAUAUGAAACUGUUCCUUGUUCGUAAAUGUUAAUGAUAUUGUAUAUAUUUGGUAUAUGCAUGUUAUUGUAUUGUUGUAAUGACUUAUAUAUGUUGCACUUAGUUUGAUUGCCUCGUGAUCCUACCAAUACACUAUGGUUGUGUACUAAUUCUGCACUUUCUCUUUCUGUGUUGAGUACUGAGCAUUUUCUAGCGGUUAUAAGUAGACCUCGCUUAGAAGAUCAGUGAUCGUCAUUCAAAUUCAAGGGUAAGCCAAUUCUUCCAGGCUGCCAUGAGUUCUGUUUCUGUCUACAUCCAUAUUUCGGAUGUAGAUUUUCUAGCUAGUUAUUAGUUCAUUAGUUUGGGGUUGUAACCCUUCUUGUUUAGACUUGUUGAACUUUAGAUGUUUUGGUACAUUGACUUACAGGUUCUAGGUGUAUUUUCCACAUUGUUUAGUUGUUAGAUCUUUUGAAAGUUUAUGGGGACUUCAAACUUUAGCUAUUUAACUAGCUUCCGUAACUAAAAUUCUUUAGUUUUUUGUUUAGUUGCUUAGUUUGGGUUGUAGUAGUGGUUCUCCCACCGGAGGGCUAGUGUGGGUGCCAAUCACGAUGGUCUAGGUCAUGACAAAGUUGUUAUCAGAGCCUAGGUUCAUUGAUCUCGAUGUACCAAAAUGAGUCUAGUAAAGUCUUGUGGAAUGGUACGGGGACGCCUUUACUUUUCUUCGAGAGGCUAUAGGACUUUAGGAAAUCUCUCUGUUUUUCCUUGUCUCCUUUCGUGCUAUAACUUGAUUCCAAUUGGUAUCUGUCGAUUCAAAUUGGUGUCUAACCUCCUUCACUCUUUUAUCCGCAGAUGGUUAAUAAUAGGUUCAACAGCGUCAGACUUGUAGCUCCCGUUAAUGCUCCAGCUGAGGAAUCUGCAGCGAAAGGUCGCGGUCGAGGCAGGGGUAGAGGAAGAGCUAGGGGUAGAGGUCGUGGAAGAGUAGCGCCUGCUGGGAAUGGAGUUCCUAUAGAGAAUGCUCCUAUGAAUAAGAACCCGCAUGCGCAUCAUGAAGAGAUAGAGAAGAAUGUUGAUAUUGAGAACGUUGAAAAUGUUGAUGAUGUGGGACAAGAGGAAGAGAUACAGGCUGAGACUACAGGUAUUCCUCCCUUAGAUCCAGUGUUGUCUUAGCAGAUUAUGUUGUUCUUGAAGAGGUUGGUUGGUCCUGGAGUGCUUCCUUAUGUUCAAGUAGCUCAGUCUCUCGUCCGUCCUCCUAUUGCUAACACUACCCCCAAGACAGGUGGAAUGGGAGGUAAUGAUGCUUUUUUCUGUCCUUUGUUGGGUUCUAUUAUGACUGGUAAUGAGCAUGAAAUUUUGACUAAGUUUUUGAAGCUAAAACCUUCUGUGUUUCUUGGUUCUGAGAAUGAAGAUGCUUAUUAGUUUAUCUUAGACUACUAUGAGAGGCUUCAUAAGUUGGGAAUUGUCCAUUAGCAUGGGGUUGAGUUCGUGACUUUUCAACUUCAAGGUAAAGCUAAGCAGUGGUGGAGAGCUUAUAUGGAAUGUAGAUCUUAAACUUUACCUCCACCUACUUUGACCCAAUUUCAUGCUCUGUUUCUAGAGAAAUAUGUGCCUCAUACUUUGAGGGAUCGCAAGAAGGAUGAGUUCAUGGCUUUGCAGCAAGGUGGCAUAACUGUGGUUGCUUAUGAGGUCAAGUUCCAUGCUUUGUCUAUAUAUGCUACUCAAAUGGUGACUACUGAGGAGGAGAGGAUCUGUUUAUUUAUUAGGAGACUAAAUUCUGAGUUGCAAGUAUCAUCUGUUCAUAUGACCUCUGUAGGGAGGAGCUUUAAUGAGGUAAUAGACUUUGUUAAGAAAAUGAAGGGGGUGAGGCGAGACAGUCACGCUAAGGCAUUGGCUAAAAGGGCCAAGAACUCAGGUAACUUUCAAUGUUCUUACUCCAGGGGGUCCGGAAGGCCAACGCAUGCAGCCAAGCCAAUUCAGUCCGCUAUGCUCGCCUCUACAUGUAAUUACUUGGGAACUCCACCUCCUAAUUUAAUUCAGGAUAGCCAGGGAGUCACAACUUCAGCGGGCAGCAUACCCAUUUUUUAUCGUACAUGUUACAAUUGUGGAGAACCUGGGCAUAUGAAGAUAGAUUGUCCUUACCCACGUAUGCUUGAGUUCGCACAGCAGCAGACUAGUGUAGUGGUACCCACGGGAAAUGGUAAUAAUAGUCGAGGGAGUCCACAAGGUGCGCGAAGAGGUAAUCAGUGACGCCUUGGAGGUAGAGGAAAUGGUAAUGCAGGCAGAGGUAAUGUGCAACCAGGCAGGGAAGUGGUUCGUUAAGAUAAUAGGACUCAGUGUUAUGCCUUUCCGGGCAAGAAUGAGGCAGAGGCAUUUGACGCAGUGAUCACAGGUACUAUUCUUGUUUGUGAUCGGAUGGCUAAUGUGUUAUUUGAUCUGAGUUCUACUUAUUCUUAUGUAUUUGUGCGUUUUGCCUUAGAGUUUGAUAUGAUUUGUGAUGUACUUGAUGCCCCUAUCCAUGUUUCUACCGCAGUUGGAGAGUCAGUCAUAGUCACCUAUGUCUAUCAUGUUUGUCCUACUUUGUUUAUGGGUUUUUAGACUUGGGCUAAUUUGGUGAUUUUGGAUAUGACUAACUUUGAUAUAAUCUUAGGCAUGACUUGGUUGUCCCCCUAUUAUGUUGUGUUAAAUUGUAAUACUAAGUGUGUAACUCUAGAAAUUCCGAAAAGGGAAAUAUUAGAGUGGGAAGGGGUGUACAAGCCUAAUCAAGCAAAUAUCAUAUCCUCCAUUCGGACUAGGAAACUGGUAGAGCAGGGUUGUUUGGCUUAUUUGGCUCAUAUUAAAGAUGUUGAGGUUGAGACUCCAUCUAUUGAGUCUAUUCAUGUGGUGUCAGAAUUUAGAGAAGUGUUUCCUAAUGAGUUGCCUGGUAUUCCUCCGGAUAAAGAUAUAAACUUCUGCAUUGAUUUAGAACCUAGCACUCGUCCCAUUUCUAUCCUUCCAUAUCGCAUGGCUCCAGCAGAAUUAAGAGAGCUUAAGGCUCAAAUCCAAUAGCUUCUUGAUAAAGGAUUUAUCCGUUCUAGUGCUUCCCCAUGUGGUGCUCCAGUUUUGUUUGUUAAGAAAAGGAUGGUAGUAUGAGAAUGUGUAUAGAUUACCGGCAAUUGAAUAGGGUCACUAUUAAAAACAAGUACCCUUUGCCUCGAAUAGAUGAUCUUUUUGGCCAAUUGCAAAGUGCAUCAGUUUUUUCUAAAAUUGAUCUAAAGUCUGGUUACCAUCAAUUAAAUAUUAGGCCUGAGGAUGUGCCCCAGAUGGCGUUUAGAACUCGUUAUGGGCACUAUGAGUUCCUAGUUAUGUCUUUUGAUUUGACUAAUGCGCCUGCAACUUUCAUCACUUUAAUGAAUAAGGUGUUCAAGCCAUUUCUUGAUUCUUUCGUCAUUGUCUUUAUUGAUGAUAUUUUGGUCUAUUCGAAAAGUGAGGAAGAGCAUGCCGACCAUCUUCGUAUUAUUCUGGGUGUUCUUGGGAAACAAAGGUUGUAUGCUAAAUUUUCUAAGUGUGAGGUUUGGUUGACUUCUGUUGCAUUUUUGGGACAUGUAGUUUCGAAAGAAGGGGUAAUGGUAGAUCCUCAAAAUAUUGAGGCGGUUAAAAAUUGGGUUCGACCAAGUUCUGUGACUGAACUUAGGAGUUUUGUGGGCUCGCUAGCUACUAUCGUUAAUUUGUGAAGAACUUUGCUUCUAUUGCCACUCACUUGACUAAUUUGACCAAAAAGGAGUUACCAUUUGAAUGGACUGAAAAAUGUGAGGAGAGCUUCCAAAAGCUCAAGACUCUUUUGACCACUGCACCCCAUCCUAGCAUUACCGGUUGAAGGUAAGGAUUUUAUUGUUUAUUGUGAUGCUUCACAUUCUGGUUUGGGUAAUGUGUUGAUGCAUGAUAAGAAUGUUAUAGCUUAUGCCUCGCGUCAAUUGAAGGUGCAUGAGAGGAAUUAUCCAAAACAUGAUUUAGAGUUGACAGCGGUAGUAUUUGCUCUUAAGAUCUGGCGACAUUACCUCUAUGGUGUUAAGUGAGAGGUAUUUACUGAUCAUUGUAGUUUGUAGCAUGUGUUCACUCAAAAUGAUCUGAAUUUGAGACAGCGUAGGCGCAUGGAGUUACUUAAAGAUUAUGAUUUCACCAUUCAAUACCAUUGAGGUGAGGCUAAUGUGGUGGUAGACGCUUUGAGUCGAAAAGCGGUGAGUAUGGGUAGUUUAGCUUGCUUAAGUGUAACCAAGCGACCUUUGGCUAAGGAAAUCCAGACAUUGGAGUCUAAGUUCAUGCAGUUAGGCAUCUCAUAAAGAGGUGGGGUGUUAGCGAGCAUUGAAGUGAGGGCCACAUUCAUUAAAGAGAUCAAGGCCAAGCAAUUUGAGGAUGAGAAUUUGAAUGAACUUAAGAAGAAGACAGCGAUUGGAGGCACUAGAGACCACUCUUGAUGCGGAAGGUGUGCUCAGUUUUAAAGGAAGAAUUUAUGUUCCUCUAGUUGAUGACUUGAUUCAGAAAUUGUUGGCAGAAUCUCAUGGUUCGCGAUAUUCCAUUAAUCCGGGUGGGAGCAAGAUGUUUCGAGAUUUGAAGUGAAUUUAUUGGUGGCCGGGCAUAAAGAAGGAUAUAGUGGAGUUUGUGGCUAAGUGUCAAAAUUGUCAACAAGUAAAAUAUGAACACCAAAGGUCUGCAGGUUUGCUUCAACGAAUGCCUAUUCCGGAAUGGAAGUGGGAAAUGAUAGCCAUGGAUUUCGUGGUUGGACUUCCCAAAACUUUUGAUUCUAUUUGGGUAGUGGUUGAUAGAUUGACUAAGUCAGCCCAUUUAUUCUGGUAAGAAUAGAUUAUAACGCUGAACAAUUGGCUAAAGUUUAUGUGAAAGAGAUAGUGAGGUUGCAUGGGGUGCCCCUUUCUAUCAUCUCAAACUGUGGCACCCAAUUCACUUCCAUGUUUUGAAGGAAGUUACAUGAUAAAUUGGGCACACAACCCACUUUUAGUACAACCUUCUACCCACUGACAAACGGGCAGUCAGAGAAGACUAUUAAAGUGUUAGAAGACAUGUUGAGGGCAUGUGUGAUUAAUUUUGGAGGAAAUUGGGAAAAAUUCAUACAUUUGUAUAGGUUCUCCUAUAAUAUAGUUAUCACUCCAGCAUUGAUGUGGCACCAUUUGAGGCGCUUUAUGGGUGGAGAUAUAGAUCACCCAUAGGGUGGUUUGAGGCUGGAGAUGUGUAACCAUUGGUGGUUGAUUUAGUGAAGGAUGCUCAAGAUAAGGUGAGGAGUAUUCAAGCUAAGCUUUUAGCANNNNNNNNNNNNNNNNNNNNNNNNNNNNNNNNNNNNNNNNNNNNNNNNNNNNNNNNNNNNNNNNNNNNNNNNNNNNNNNNNNNNNNNNNNNNNNNNNNNNNNNNNNNNNNNNNNNNNNNNNNNNNNNNNNNNNNNNNNNNNNNNNNNNNNNNNNNNNNNNNNNNNNNNNNNNNNNNNUAAGUCCGCGAUACAUUGGUCCCUUUGAGGUUCUUGAAUAUGUAGGACUGGUAGCGUCUAGACUGGCCUUACCUCCUAACCUAUCGGGAGUUCAUUUGGUAUUUCAUGUGUCCAUGUUGAAGAGAUAUCAUGGAUUACAUCAUUAAGUGAGACUCCAUUGUGUUAGACAAAAGACCUCUAAUAUGAGGAGGAACUGAUUGCAAUUCUUUAUCGUGAUGUGUGUAAGCUGAGGACCAAAGAGAUUAGGUCCGUGAAAGUUCAAUGGAAGCAUCAUCCAGUUGGGAAAGCUACUUGGGAGACCGAGAGGAAAGACAUGUUGAGGGCAUGUGUGAUUAAUUUUGGAGGAAAUUGGGAAAAAUUCAUACAUUUGUAUAGGUUCUCCUAUAAUAUAGUUAUCACUCCAGCAUUGAUGUGGCACCAUUUGAGGCGCUUUAUGGGUGGAGAUAUAGAUCACCCAUAGGGUGGUUUGAGGCUGGAGAUGUGUAACCAUUGGUGGUUGAUUUAGUGAAGGAUGCUCAAGAUAAGGUGAUGAGUAUUCAAACUAAGCUUCUAGCAUCCUAGAGUAGACAGAAGAAGUAUGCGGAUCAUAAGGUAAGAGACAUGUCAUUUCAAACCGGUGAGAAUGUUCUUCUUAAGGUAUCACCCAUGAAAGGGGUGAUGAGAUUUGGCAAGAAGAGCAAACUAAGUCCGCGAUACAUUGGUCCCUUUGAGGUUCUUGAAUAUGUAGGACUGGUAGCGUCUAGACUGGCCUUACCUCCUAACCUAUCGGGAGUUCAUUUGGUAUUUCAUGUGUCCAUGUUGAAGAGAUAUCAUGGAUUACAUCAUUAAGUGAGACUCCAUUGUGUUAGACAAAAGACCUCUAAUAUGAGGAGGAACUGAUUGCAAUUCUUUAUCGUGAUGUGUGUAAGCUGAGGACCAAAGAGAUUAGGUCCGUGAAAGUUCAAUGGAAGCAUCAUCCAGUUGGGAAAGCUACUUGGGAGACCGAGAGGAACAUGCGAGACAAGUAUCCCUAAUUGUUCAUCGAUUCAGGUACUACUCUAUUCCUUCUUUAGCUUAUUUUCCUAAGUUUGGCACUCGGGGACGAGUGAUGGGUAAAUUGGUAUCUAUUGUAACGACAUGUUCCCGUCAUUAUAGUAAAGCCAACGGGGAAAAAUUUUGGACCGAAAAACUUUUUCGUAGUAACUAAACAUUUCCCAACCUAGUCCAGAUUUGGACGAAAUUGGAGUCUGUGUGGUCUAGGGAAAUCUGGUAGCAGUUUGGUUGUCUAAUUAUGAAUUUGAUUACAUGAGUGGUUAGAUAAGUCGUUAAGGAAUCCGUAAGACUUUACGAAAUUGAAUUCGGGUGAGUAGAACACCUGAAAUCAAUCUUAGCGUGAACGGUAUUUUCUGAGCAUCGUUGGUUAAAGGUGUGUUGUGAAAUGGGGGUCUUGGAAUUAUUAAAAUAGCUCACUAUUUCGUGCAAGCCGGUUUGAUGGUGGUUUUGGUCUCUCUAGCAGGGCCGCUGUAGCGGGGUGGGUGCCGCUGUGGCGAACCAGACGCGUCUUAAGUUCGUAAAUAAACCUAAAAUGACUUUAUUCUGCACAUUUCGAUUUUAAGAGCUACGGAACGAACCCCAUGCGAUUCUUGGAAGCUUUCCACCAUUCUUGAGGGUAAAGGUAAGAUUUUAACUCCCCGAAUCCAUUGUUUGAUCCGUAGAACGUAAUUUAAUGGGUAAAUAUUGAUGGCAGAGGGUUUUGAUCUGGAAUCUAUGGUGGAAACAACCCUAAUUGGGAGAUUGAGACCAUGGGUUUGAUCUAGGGUCUAUAGAAUUGUUAGUAAUUUAGGUAAUUAGUGAUUGUUUAUUGAUUCCUAUAUUAUAUUUAUGGUUUCUAAACCAAGAACAAGCGGAACGUAUCCGGAAAGGGAAGGAUCAAGUUUCUUAGUGUUUCAAGCUUGUUUCGAGGUAGGUGAUGAUUGUGAUUCUAUGAUUGUGUGAUGUAUGUUUGUUCUUGCUUCAUUAUGAUAUAUGUUUGUAUGUGAAUGUUGCUAUUAUUGAUCACAUUAAUUGUAAAUAAGGAUAUAUGAAUGAUUAAUUCCAUGAAUCAUGACUUGAUUGUAUGAUUAUGAGAAUUGUACUUUGUGAUUAUGGUUGUGGCUUGUUGAAUGGAUCGGGUGUUGCGUUCCGACACACUAACUUGGAUCGGUUGCGACGUUCCGGCAUAAUUAUGGGAUCGGUUGCAACGUUCUGGCACAAUCAUUGGAUCGGGUACCACAUUCCGGUAUGCUAACAGUUUGGGUUUGGGGUCCAUAAGAGGACCAAUGAUUUGAUAUAAUUGUGUAUCUUGAGAAAUGUGAAAUCGUUCGUUCUUCGUAAAUAUUGAUGAUAUUGUAUAUGUUCGGUGUAUGCAUGUUAUUGUAUUGUUGUAAUAAGUUAUAUAUGUUGCACUUAGUGGGAUAGCCGCGUUAUCCUACCAGUACACUAUGGUUGUGUACUGAUUCUUGCAAUUGUUCUUUCUUUGUUGAGUAUAGGGCAUCUUCAAGCGGCUAUUGACAGACCUCGCUUACAAGAUCAGUGAUCGUCGUUCGAAUUCAAUGGUGAGCCAAUUCUUCUAGGCUUCUAUGAGUUCUCUUUUUGUCUACGUCCACAUUUAGGACGUAGAUUUUCUAACUAGUUAUUUGUUCAUUAGUUUGGGGUUGUAACCCUUCUUGUUUAAACUUGUUGAACUUUAGAUGAUUUGGUACAUUGACUUUCAGGUUCUAGGUGUAUUUUCCGCAUUGUUUAGUUGUUAGAUCUUUUGGAAGUUUAUGGGGACGUUCAGUCUUUAGCUAUUUAACUUGCUUCCGUAACUUAAAUGCUUUAUUUUUUGGUUUAGUUGCUUGGUUUGGGUUGUAGUAGUGGUUCUCCCACCGGAGGGUUUGUGUAGGUGUCAAUCACGACGGUCUGGGUCGUUACAAACAUAGAUAACUUUAUGUUGUUUCAAGGAUCUCCUCCCAAUAUAGCAAUAUUUAUGUAAAUCUAGUAAUAGAUUCACAUAUUAUGAAAUAUUAAAUAAAUGUAAAAAUACUAAUGACAUAUAGACUCGUAAUACGAAAACAUUAAAUAAUAUGACAAUACACGUGAUAAAUAGACUUGUAAUGUGAAAACAUUUAAAUAAUGUGACAAUACACAUAACAAAAUCAUAUUAUAAUAAAAGUAGGAAGCCACAAAGUUACAAGUUGAAAUGUCAUUUUACCCCUAUUCUAAUUCAAAAUAUUAUGAAAUAUCGAAUAAGUUAAAUAUUAAUUAUUAAAAAUAUUUCACUUUCUUUUCACCUCCUAACUUAAUUGCAAGCUAAAGAGACAUAAAUUGACCAUAUUCAUUUUGUAAGUUACACAGUGACCAGUUAAUAACAUAUGAUUAAUAUAUAAAAAAAUAAUUGAGAAUGAAUAUGGUUAAUUUAUUGGUUAACUUUUGAAUAAAAUCAUUUUAUUGCAAGUUGAAUUUUUCCUUUAACAUAUUUCUUCCAAUCAUGUAUUUAGUUUACCCUAAUAAUAAGAAUGAUAUUUGUUAAUAACAUGCAAAACAUCUCACAUUUCUGAUGAAUAUAGACAAUUAAUUAAAGAAAAAUUAAUAGUUAUGUAACUAAAUGAAAUUCUAUUAAAUAUUAAAUAAUUUCUAAAUGUUGUCAAACCUUUUUUUCCCACCAUCUAGUACUCCCUCCGUCCAACAAUAGUUGUCCAAUAUACUAAAAAGUAUUGUCCAAUUUAGAAAAUCAAGAGAUAAUUUACCUUUUGUGUCUAUUUUACCCUUUCUAUUAAAUAAUAUUUAUCAUCUAACACAUUUUUUAAAGCAUUAAAUCUAAUAGAGUCAAAGGAUACAAUAGUAAUAUUACCCCUAUUAUUUAUUAUUUCUUAAGGGGUGUGUCAAGUCAAUAUUGGACAAUUUUUGUUGGACAGAGGGAGUGACAUUAACACUAAUGAUGAAUUUAUAUUGAAUUUUGCUCAUUAAACAUCUUAUAUAAAUUAUUAUCAAGAAUGCGUCAUUCUUUCAUCAUUGGAUGAUAAAAAUUCAAUAGGUAUGUAACAAUUUAUGCUCGUCUGUCGCUUCUACUUUUAUUUUGUUUGUUCAUUUUUUCCUCAAACCAUUAACUAAUACAGUGAAGUUUUUUCAUAUCCUAUCAAAAUUUUAUGAGAACACAUUUUGUUCUUUGUUAUGCGAAACAAAAAACUAUAGAGUUUAUUAUAGUGCAUUUUAAUGAAGCAGUGAAAUCAGACACCGAUUUGUUCUUCAAGUUUUUAGUUGAAUCAUGAAUUAGUCAAAUUCCAUUCUGUUCUAUAUUACAAUCUUUUAUUUUAUGGUAAUUUUGUCCUAUCAUAUAGUGUACCAAAUUUAUCAUUUACAAUAUGUUUAAAUUAUGUUUUUGGGAUAAACGUGCAAAGCAUGUUCCUAGAACUAGUAGACUCAUAAUAUGAAAACAUUAAAUAUUGUGACAAUACACAUGACAAAUAGACUCUUGCACCUACUAUGAAUUACCCUAGCGUUCCUUCAAAGUUUCUCAGGCAUUCAGGCUUAUUCAACCUAAAAAUCUUCUUAUUUUCUUCUUUAAUUAUUUUCUUUUGCAAUGAAAAAGAGGACCAACAAAGGUAAGCAAAAGAUUGAAAUGGAGUUGAUUGAAUCAAAAGAAGUGUGUGCUGCUACUUUCUCGCAAAUGAAAACACCAUGUUGUUUAAGUGUAAAACACAAAGACAAUGGACAUAUUUUCUUGUUGUAUUAUUGCAACAAUAACAGUUACUUGUAGGUGUAGAAGUAAAUAUAUGUAAGGAAAUAAAAAAAAAUCCUAAAUAUCUCUACAUAUGAUACUGCAAUCAAUAAAUAUCUCUACCUAUGAUAGUGCAAUGUAUAAUAUAUGUAGACUUGUCUAUGUACAUUCUGCAACACUCCCCCUAAAGUUGGAGCAUAGAUAUUAAUCAUGCCCGACUUGUUAAAAAGAUAUUCCUCAUGAUGUCUACUUAAAGCCUUCGUAAAUAUAUCACCCAAUUUCUCCCCAGUCUUCACAUAUCAAGUGAAAAAUGUGUUCUCUUAAAUCUUCUCAUGGAUAAAGUUACAGUCAACUUCAAUAUGUUUUGUUUGUUCAUGGUACACUGGAUUUGAGGCAAUGUGCAGAGCAAUUUGAUUAUCACACCAAAGUUUUGCUAGAGAAGAAAGCUCCAAACCAAUCUCAGUUAAAAGGUGAUGUAUCCAUAGUAUUUCACAGGUGGAUUGAGCCAUAGCUCUAUACUCGGAUUUUGUACUAGAUCGAGAUACAACAUUUUGUUUCUUACUCUUCCAAGAUACCAAAUUUCCACCAACAAAUAUACAAAUAUCUAGUAGUAGAUCUUCUGUCAUUCUUGAUCUAGCCCAGCAUCUACAAAACACUCAGCACGAGUAGCCUCGUAAUCACUAUACAAUAUGCUAAGGCCAGGAGCUCCUAUCAAAUAGCACAAGAUUUGUUUCAAGGUUGCGUAGUGUUUGACUGUUGGUACAAACAUGAAUUGUCUGACAAUACUAACCUCAUAGGCAAAACUUGGAUGGGUCAUAGUGAGAUAGUUGAAUUACUUUGCUAAAUUUUCCAAACCAAGCACAACGACUUUGACCAUAUAAAGAUUUCCUUAGAUGAAUAACUUCUCUGUACUUCCAUUGAGCAACAACUUCAGGUGGUUGUUUAAUAUAUAUACCUCUUCAUGGAGAUUACCGUGAAUAAACACAUUCUUGAUAUCCAACUAAUGUAAAGGCCAAUCUUGAGAAGCAGUCAAUGAAAUAAAAAAGUGGACAAAUGUGAGCUUGGCUACCGGAGAGAAAGUGUCGGAAUAAUCCAGCCCAUAAGUCUGAGCAUAGUCUUUAGCCACAAGUCUGGCUUUAAGUGGCGCGAAAGAACCAUUUGGAUUGAUUUUGUCAACCAGUGAUAUAUAUAUCACACAUAGAUAACUUUAUGUUGUUUCAAGUCUCUCUUUCCAAUAUAACAAUAUAUAUAUAUAUAUAUAUAUAUAUAGUAAUAGAUACACAUAAUAUUGAAAUAUUAAAUUAACGUGAAAAUACUCAUGAUAGAUAGACUUACAGUACAAAUAUAUUCAAUAAUGUGAUAAUACAUAUGAAAAAUAGACUCAUAAUAUGAAAACAUUAAAUAAUGUGACAAUACACAUAACAAAUAGACUCAUAAUAUAAAAACUUUAAAUAAUAUGACAGUAAAAGUGACAAAUAGAAUCAAUCUUGCACCUACUAUAAAUUACCCUUGCGUUCCUCUCGAAGUUGUUCAGGCAUUCAGGCUUAUUCAACCAAAACAACUUCUAAUUUUCUUCCUUAAUUAUUUUCUUUAGCAUUGGAAAAAAAGGAUUAGCAGAGGUAAGCAAAAGAUUGAAAUGGGGUUGAUUGAUUCAAAAGAAGUGUGCACUUCAACUUUCUCGCAAAGGAAAAUUACCUUCUUGUUAAAAAAAAGCUGACAAGCUUUCAACUCUGUUCGGAGCAAAUAUUUGUGUUCUACUCUCUUCACCAAGUGAAAAAACAUAUUCCUAUGCCUUCAAGAAUAUAGAAACAAUUGUCACUCCCCGAGCCUACACCCUGGACAUGGCCGGCACUCGGAGACCAUCGCUGACCCCAAGCGGACCCUUGGCCUAGCUUACUUAACUCAGCGGAAGACUUAACUCAACAGAAUAAACUCAUUACAAUAGUUUCAAUGAUAACAUCUUACCCAAAAUGGCAACUUAUGUCUCAAAAUAAAGUAUCUGCAAAUACAUAGAUGAGAGACUCAAUACUAACUGUUUGACUGUCUAUGAAUCCUCUAUAAUAUUAAGAUAGAGGUUGGGACAGACCCCACAAAAUCCUAAUAAAGAAAAAAAACUAGGAAAGCGAAAUAAAAGAGUCCUUCGGAAUGAAAUGAGGCUUACCACAGACUCUGGAGUGCUCAACUGGAUCAACGGCGCGCUGGAUGCUGAUCCUGGUUACCUGUGUCUGCAUCAUAAUAAGAUGCAGGACAACUGGAAUCAGUAUAUUGAAUGUAUGAGUAUGCGAGUUGGAAUGCUAAACCACAACUUCAGCUUGAAAGGAGUACAAAUGAACACUUACCUUGGCUCUAUUUAACUCAUGAACAACUGAACUCAAUAAAAAGCAAUAAGACACAUGCAAUAUAUAUAAAACUUGUAAAAUAGUGUAAACAACUUAGUUCGUUAAAGAUAANNNNNNNNNNNNNNNNNNNNNNNNNNNNNNNNNNNNNNNNNNNNNNNNNNNNNNNNNNNNNNNNNNNNNNNNNNNNNNNNNNNNNNNNNNNNNNNNNNNNNNNNNNNNNNNNNNNNNNNNNNNNNNNNNNNNNNNNNNNNNNNNNNNNNNNNNNNNNNNNNNNNNNNNNNNNNNNNNNNNNNNNNNNNNNNNNNNNNNNNNNNNNNNNNNNNNNNNNNNNNNNNNNNNNNNNNNNNNNNNNNNNNNNNNNNNNNNNNNNNNNNNNNNNNNNNNNNNNNNNNNNNNNNNNNNNNNNNNNNNNNNNNNNNNNNNNNNNNNNNNNNNNNNNNNNNNNNNNNNNNNNNNNNNNNNNNNNNNNNNNNNNNNNNNNNNNNNNNNNNNNNNNNNNNNNNNNNNNNNNNNNNNNNNNNNNNNNNNNNNNNNNNNNNNNNNNNNNNNNNNNNNNNNNNNNNNNNNNNNNNNNNNNNNNNNNNNNNNNNNNNNNNNNNNNNNNNNNNNNNNNNNNNNNNNNNNNNNNNNNNNNNNNNNNNNNNNNNNNNNNNNNNNNNNNNNNNNNNNNNNNNNNNNNNNNNNNNNNNNNNNNNNNNNNNNNNNNNNNNNNNNNNNNNNNNNNNNNNNNNNNNNNNNNNNNNNNNNNNNNNNNNNNNNNNNNNNNNNNNNNNNNNNNNNNNNNNNNNNNNNNNNNNNNNNNNNNNNNNNNNNGGGUGAACUGGCGUCCUUGGCGCUCUGAGAGGCGUGGGGCGCCAGGCCCCAUACUUCAGAGAAGUUUGUGGGGCGCUCUGGCUGGCGCGGCGCCCCAAGGCCAAAACUUCAAAGGCUACUUUGGGGCGCGCUUGCUGGCACGGCACCCCAGCCCUGUUACUCAGGUGUUCUCGAUUUUUCUUCUCUGUUUUUCAUCUCUAAUCCCUCCAAUCUUCCCUUGUUCCUUCCCCAAACACUUAGGAUAAAUUGAAACCUCAAUACACAACCAAUCUAACUCGAAAACAUCCCGGAAACAUAAAUCAACUCAACCCCCAAGCAUCAACAAUUCAACCAACAAGAACUUAACGAAUUUCAACAAAGUUCUUCAAGAACUCCCUAACUUUUCAUUCAAUCAACAACCAUUCUCUGAAUAGAAAUAAGAUGAGAGUGUGGGUGAACUAACCCAACACGAAAAGAUCUCACAUACCUUAAUAGGGAUCACCCCCGACGAAUUCCACUCGCAAGCUUGGAUGAUCUUGACGAAUUCUUGCCUUAUUUCGCCCUUUCUUUCUUCUUUUCUCUCUUCUCCAAGCCCUAAGCGUAUUUAUCAAUAAUCCAAACUGAGUAAGUCACGUUUUUAUCCCAAUAAAUCCCUGAAAUCGAAUUAAGAAAUUAAUUAGAGAAAAGACUACUUUGCCCUUCCCUAAAUCCGGUUUGGGACUUUCCUCAAUCCAACAGCCCAACUUUCGAAAGGCAUAUCUCACUCAUAUGAUGUCGAAAUCAUGCAAUCUCAGUGGCGUUGCAAAGAUAUCUUCAAGGUCUUUCCAACCAUAUCAAGAUCUGCUCCUAAAUCCUUCUGAUCUAGGAGUUAUGGUCGUUUGAAAAUGGCCAAAACUCACUUUCUUAACUUAGAUAAAAUUUCGAGAAUUCCUUAUUCUUUCCAAAAAAACAAUAUUUUCAUAUUUUAAACUAUUUAUAGUUGUUUCUUGGUGCGGGAUGUUCCAAUAUCUCCCCCUUGGGAACAUUCGUCCUCGAAUGAGCUUUAUUUCACUAAGCUAAGGGUAGCAACAUCAAGUUCAACACUCAACAAACAAAAGCCAGUAACAACAUGCAUACUCAUAAUUCAGAUAGUACUAAGAAGAGGAUUAGUACCUUGAUCUGAAUUUUCUCCGGAUUCAAAGAGAUGUGGAUAUCUCUUCUUCAUAUUCUCUUCAGCUUCCCAAGUAGCUUCUUCAACAAAUUGGUUCCUCCAAAGGACUUUGACUGAUACGACCUCUUUUGUUCUCAACUUGUGAACUUGACGAUCUAAAAUCUAGACUGGAAUCUCCUCAUAAGAUAAAUUAUCCUUAAUCUCAACAUUUUCAGUUUGCACUAUCAAUGAAGGAUCUCCCAUGCACUUCUUCAACAUAGAGAUGUGAAAUACCGGAUGAACCGCCGCUAAUUCCUGUGGUAGCUCCAACUCAUAAGCUACACUGCCAAUCGUCUUGGCUAUGCGAUAAGAUCCAAUAUACCGGGGACUAAGCUUCCCUUUCUUACCAAACCUCAUAACACCCUUCAUGGGUGAAACUUUAAAAUAUACCCAAUCAUCUACUUCGAACUCUAAUACCCUUCUCCUAACAUCAAUGUAGGAUUUCUGAUGACUGUGUGCUAUUUUCAAUCUCUCUUGAAUUACUUUCACUUUCUCCAUAGCUUGAUGAACUAAAUCUGGUCCUAUCAACCCUGCUUCACCAACUUCAAACCAUCCAAUAGGGGAUAUGCAUCUUCUCCCAUAAAGAGCUUCAUAUGGAGCCAUUUUGAUGCUGGAGUGGUAACUGUUGUUGUAAGCAAACUCAAUGAGAGGUAGGUGAUCAUCCCAAUUUCCUUGAAAUUCAUCACACAAGCCCUCAACAUAUCCUUUAAGGUCUGAAUAGUGCGCUCUGCUUGCUCAUCUGUAUGAGGAUAAAGGCAGUACUUAAAUUCACCUUCGAACCCAAACCUUUCUGGAAAGAUUUCCAGAAUUGUGCAGUACAUUUUGCACCUCUAUCUGAAAUAAUGGAGACCGGAACUCCAUGCAGUCUUACCACUUCUUGAAUGUAUAGCUUAGCAUAAUCUUCUGCCUAAUGGGUAGUCUUUACCGGCAAAAAGUGGGCUGAUUUUGUCAUUCUGUCGACAAUCACCCAAAUAGAAUCAUGUUGUCUGCGAGACCUUGGCAAACCUGUGAUGAAAUCAAUAUUAAUUAUCUCCCACUUCCAUUCUGGAAGUUCUAUAUUCUGCGCCAAACCACCGGGCCUUCGGUGCUCGACUUUCACUUGCUGGCAAUUUGGACACUUAGCAACAAACUCUGCAAUGCCCUUCUUCAUGCCAUUCCACCAAUACACUUCUCUCAGAUCGUGAUACAUCUUUGUGGAACCUGGAUGAAUGGAAUAUCUGGAGCUAAGAACUUCAUCCAUGAUCCUCUCUUGGAGUUCAUCCACCAUUGGUACACACAAUCUACCUUGAUAUCUCAAUACACCAUCUCCCCCUUGUUCAAAAGCUAAUACUCUUUGCUUUUGAACAUUUGCGUUCAAGUCGAGCAAAAUGGGGUCUAGGUCUUGCUUUUCCUUCACUUCUGACACUAGUGAUGAUUCAGCCCCAUUCAUCACCACUAUUCCUCCUUCUGUGGAGUCCAUAAGUCUGACUCCCAAGCGUGUAAGUCUGUGCACAUCUUUGGCUAACUCCCUCUUUUCUUCCUCAACAUGGGUGAUACUACCCAUAGAUAACCUGCUUAAAGCAUCAGCAACAACAUUAGCCUUGCCUGGGUGGUAAAGAAUACUCAUGUCAUAAUCUUUGAGUAAUUCUAACCACCUCCUCUAUCUGAGUGAACACCUAUUGUAGCUCUUUCUGAGUGAACACCUAUUGUAAGCUCUUGUGAUCAGUGAAUACAUCAACAUGAACAACAUACAAAUAGUGACGCCAAAUCUUCAAAGCGAAUACUACAGCAGCCAACUCUAAGUCAUGGGUUGGGUAGUUCUUCUCAUGAACUUUCAAUUGUCUAGAGGCAUAAGCUAUAACUUUGCCAUUCUGCAUUAACACGCAACCCAAACCAACUCUAGAUGCAUCACAAUACACCACAAAACCUUGGGUACCUUCUAGUAAGGUCAAUACUAGAGCACUAGUCAACCUCUUCUUCAAUUCCUGAAAGCUCUUCUCACAAGCUUCAGACCAUUGAAAUUUCACUGUCUUCUGAGUCAACUUGGUCAAAGGAGACGAAAUAGACGAGAACCCCUCUACAAACCUUCUAUAAUAGCCAGCUAAACCCAAGAAACUCCUAAUAUCAGUUGGAGAUGUGGGUCUAGGAGAAUUCUGCACUGCCUCAAUUUUCUGAGUAUCAACUCUAAAUACCAUCACCAGAAAUAAUAUGGCCCAAGAAUGCCACAGACUCAAGCAAAAACUCACACUUAGAGAACUUGGCAUACAACUCCUUAUCUUUCAAAGGUCUGAAGAACUAUUCUAAGAUGACUAGCAUGAUCUUCUUCAUUCCUUGAAUAGAUUAGUAUGACAUAAAUGAAGACGAUGGCAAACAUAUCUAAAUAAGGUUUGAAGACUCUGUUCAUAUGAUCCAUGAACGCUGCUGGUGCAUUGGUAAAACCAAAGGACAUGACCAAGAAUUCAUAAUGACCAUAUCUAGUCCUGAGUGCUGUCUUUGGAAUGUUACAUUCCCUAACUUUCAACUGAUGGUAGCCUGAUCUGAGAUCAAUUUUCAAAAACAGGUGGCACCCUGAAGUUGUUCAAAUAAAUUAUCUAUCCUUGGAAGAGGAUACUUAUUCUUGAUAAUAACCUUAUUUAAUUGACGGUAAUCUAUACACAUCCUAAGGGAACCAUCUUUCUUUCUCACAAACAAGACCGGAGUGCCCCAAGGUGAGACACUUGGUCGAAUGAAACCCUUCUCUAGGAGAUCUUUCAACUGCUCUUUCAACUCUGCUGGUGCCAUUCUAUAUGGUGGAAUAGAGUUAGGACGAGUAUCUGGAAUGAUGUCUAUACCGAAGUCUAUUUCUCUCUCAGGAGGGACUCCGGGUAGAUCAUUAGGAAAGACUUCUGGAAACUCUCUUACUAUAUGAACUAACUGAAUGGGAGGUACCUCAACACUUGAGUCAUUAAUUCGGGCUAAGUGAUAGAUACAACCCUUUGAAACGAACUUUCUCGCCUUAAGGUACGAAAUGAAACGACCCUUAGGCACAGCUGAACUACUACUCCACUCUACGACUGGCUCAUUUGGAAUCUGAAACUUGACAACUCGAGUUCUACAAUCAACUGAGGCAUAACAGGCAUGAAGCCAGUCCAUACCAAGAAUGACAUCAAAAUCUACCAUGUCUAACUCAACUAAAUCAGCCAUGGUGCUCUUGUGAUUGAUGGAAANNNNNNNNNNNNNNNNNNNNNNNNNNNNNNNNNNNNNNNNNNNNNNNNNNNNNNNNNNNNNNNNNNNNNNNNNNNNNNNNNNNNNNNNNNNNNGGUGCAGCCCUGUCUGGUGGAGCAACUGAUGAAGACUGGGCUCUAUUGCCUGGAUUUCCACUACCUUGCUUAUUCUUAGGACACUCUUUCAAGAAGUGUCCCUCUUGUCCACACUUGAAACAACCUGUCAAGCCAUCAAGACACUUACCUAGGUGGGUUCUCCCACACUUAACACAUGCAGGAGCCCAACUACCUCCUUGUGCCACACUACCCUGGAACUGCGCUGGUUUAGAUCUGAAGUUCUGCGAAUUCUGACCAUAAUAUCUGCCUUUGUUUCGAGGUGUAGGUGCACUAGCAGAUGAUGGAGCAGGCCUAUUUUGCUUCUGCUGAAAAGACGAAUGAUUCCUAUUGCCUUUCUUCUACCCAGAAUCAUUCCUUGUCUUCGUUUUCUUACUUCUGAACUCUUCCCUGUCUCUCAGCUUCUCUUCCUCAACCUGCUGCACAUAAACCAUCAACCUUGAUAUGUCCAUGUCACCUAUCAGCAUCGCUGCCCUGCCCUCUUUGCUUGACAGACGACCCAAGCCAAUAAUAAACAAGCUUAUUCUGCUCCUCAUGUCCUUAACCAUUUCAGGAGCAUAGCGGGACAGUUGGGUGAACUUCAACCCAUACUCAUGCACGCUCAAGGAAUCCUGUUUCAGUGUAAGAAACUCUCGUACCUUAGCCUCCUUCAGUUCUCGGGGAAAGAAACGGCCCAAGAAGGCUUUUUCAAAACAAGUCCAACUAGCAGGUGGUGCAUCCUCAGGUCUACCCCCUUCCACUGAUCGAACCAUGUUCUAGCAACAUCCUUCAGUUGAUAUGCAACUAGUUCAAUCCUUCCUGCAUCAGCAACAUGCAUCACCUCAAAAACCUUCUUCAGUUCCUCAACAAAAUUUUCUGGAUCUUCAGUGGUGACCGAACCAGUGAAAAUAGGAGGAUUCAUUCUCAAGAAUUCGCGAAUCCUUGAAGUGUCAGCAUCAUCUUGCCUUGGUCCUCUUGAUUGCCCAACCUGGUUAGUCAUAGCUUGGCUCAGCAUCCGGAUAGCCUCAUGGAAUUUAGCAUUAGUGACCUUGCCCUGAGGUUGCACGUUUGGUGCAUUAGGUACCCCUUGCUCUUGUGGUUCAACAUUUCUCCUAGCUGGACGAACUCGUGCUGCUCUUCGUGGAGGCAUGGUUAUAUGAAACACGCACAAGCACGAAUUAGAAGGAAACUUUUAGAGAUAUACUUUAACGCACGAAAUCGAUAUGAAGGAAGUGAAGAAUUUCCUAAAUGUUGCAGCCUCCUAAUUAUAGAUGUGGCGCACUUCACACCGAUAACUAGGACCCUACAGACACAGCUUCACAGACUCCCUAGGACUCUUGAACUUUGUGCUCUGAUACCAAGUUUGUCAUGCUCCGAGCCUAAACCCUGUACGUGGCCAGCACUCGGAGACCAUCGUUGGCCCCAAGCGGACCCUUGGCCUAGCUUACUUAACUCAGCAGAAGACUUAACUCAACAGAAUAAACUCAUUACAAUAGUUUGAAUGAUAACAUCUUAGCCAAAAUGGCAACUUAUGUCUCAAAACAAAGUAUCUACAAAUACAUAGAUGAGAGACUCCAUACUAACUGUCUGACUGUCUAUGAAGCCUCUAUAAUACUGAUAUGGAUGUUGGGACAGACCCCACAACAUCCUAAUAAAGAAAAAAAACUAGGAAAGCGAAAGAAAAGAGUCCUCCGGAAUGUAAGGAGGCUCACCACUGACUCUGGAGUGCUCAACUGGAUCAAUGGCGCACUGGAUGCUGAUCCUGGUUACCUGUGUCUGCAUCAUAAUAAGAUGCAGGCCAACUGGCAUCAGUUCAUUGAAUGUACGAGUAUGCUAGUUGGAAUCCUAAACCACAACUUAAGCUUGAAAGGAGUACAAAUGAACACUUACCUUGGCUCUGUUUAACUCAAGAACAACUUAACUCAAUAUAAAGAAAUAAGACACAUACAAUAUAUAUAAAGCUUGUAAAACAGUGUAAACAACUUAGUUCGUUAAAGAUAAAGCAAUAACAAACUCAACUUUCCUUAAAUAUAAAAGUAAUAUAACUUUUGUGGGAGAUUCUCUAACCGACAACCACCACUAUGAGCNNNNNNNNNNNNNNNNNNNNNNNNNNNNNNNNNNNNNNNNNNNNNNNNNNNNNNNNNNNNNNNNNNNNNNNNNNNNNNNNNNNNNNNNNNNNNNNNNNNNNNNNNNNNNNNNNNNNNNNNNNNNNNNNNNNNNNNNNNNNNNNNNNNNNNNNNNNNNNNNNNNNNNNNNNNNNNNNNNNNNNNNNNNNNNNNNNNNNNNNNNNNNNNNNNNNNNNNNNNNNNNNNNNNNNNNNNNNNNNNNNNNNNNNNNNNNNNNNNNNNNNNNNNNNNNNNNNNNNNNNNNNNNNNNNNNNNNNNNNNNNNNNNNNNNNNNNNNNNNNNNNNNNNNNNNNNNNNNNNNNNNNNNNNNNNNNNNNNNNNNNNNNNNNNNNNNNNNNNNNNNNNNNNNNNNNNNNNNNNNNNNNNNNNNNNNNNNNNNNNNNNNNNNNNNNNNNNNNNNNNNNNNNNNNNNNNNNNNNNNNNNNNNNNNNNNNNNNNNNNNNNNNNNNNNNNNNNNNNNNNNNNNNNNNNNNNNNNNNNNNNNNNNNNNNNNNNNNNNNNNNNNNNNNNNNNNNNNNNNNNNNNNNNNNNNNNNNNNNNNNNNNNNNNNNNNNNNNNNNNNNNNNNNNNNNNNNNNNNNNNNNNNNNNNNNNNNNNNNNNNNNNNNNNNNNNNNNNNNNNNNNNNNNNNNNNNNNNNNNNNNNNNNNNNNNNNNNNNNNNNNNNNNNNNNNNNNNNNNNNNNNAAGGCCAAAACUUCAGAGGCUGCUUUGGGGUGCGCUGGCUGGCACGGCACGCCAUCGCCAUUACCCAGGUGUUCUCAAUUUUUCUUCUCCGUUUUUCAUCUCUAAUCCCUCCAAUUUCCCUAGUUCCUUCCCCAAACACUUAGGAUCAAUUGAAACCUCAAUACACUACCAAUCUAACUCGAAAACAUCCCGGAAACAUAAAUCAACUCAACCCCCAAGCAUCAACAAUUCAACCAACAAGAACUUAACGAAUUUCAACAAGUUCUUCAAGAACUCCCUAACUUUUCAUUCAAUCUACCACCAUUCUCUGAAUAGAAAUAAGAUGAGAGUGUGGGUGAACUAACCCAACACGAAAAGAUCUCACAUACCUUAAUAGGGAUCACCCCCGACGAAUUCCACUCGCAAGCUUGGAUGAUCUUGACGAAUUCUUGCCUUUUUUCUCCCUUUCUUUCUUCUUUUCUCUCUUCUCCAAGCCCUAAGCGUAUUUCUCAAUUCUCCAAACUGAAUAACUCAUGUUUUUACCCCAAUAAAUCCCUAAAAUCAAAUUAGGAAAUUAAUUAGAGAAAAGACUAAUUUGCCCUUCCCUAAAUCCAGUUUGGGAGUUUCCUCAAUCCAACAGCCCAACUUUCAAAAGGCAUAUCUCACUCAUACGAUGUCGAAAUCAUGCAAUCUCGGCGGCGUUGGAAAGAUAUCUCCAAGGUAUUUCCAACCAUAUCAAGAGCUCUCCUAAAUCCUCAUGAGCUAGGAGUUAUGGUAUUUUUAAAAUGGCCAAAACUCACUUUUUUAACUUAGACAAAAUUUCCAGAUUUCUUUAUUCUUUCCAAAAAAUCAAUAUUUUCAUAUUUUAAACUCUUUAUAGUUGUUUCUAGGUGCGGUAUGUUACAAGAAUAACUGUUAAAUUUUUUGAAUUGAAAUCACACGAACAACAACGAUCAUGCUGAUGUGGGCAAAUGUAAUGUAUGUGUGUCAUUUGGUGAUCAUCUGUCUCUUUCUUGUUGGAAAAAGAGAGGAACAACUACUCGAAUAAGAUAUUAAGAAACAGAGUGAAAUACUUAAUCUUUUCUUAUGCUUCAAGAUACAGCGUUAUAAGUUUUAAAUAGUACUUGGAAGGGAACAAACAUAGAGAAAUAUUAGGGCACUAGUUUAUCACUAACGCAUGACCUACUAACUGACUAACAUAAACUAAUUAGGACUCCUGGAGCUUGUACAAUGGACAUAUUAAAGACUCCUAAAAGUGCUGCCACUAAUAGCAUUGAACUUUUGAAUGCGUCAACUAACACUUCCCCUUGAUUCAAAAUCACACACUCCCAACUUCAACCUGAAAUAUUCAUGCUUAGCCUGAGGAAGAGACAUCGUAAAUAUAUUCGCUACUUGCUCGUUUAUGUUGCAGAAUUUCACCACUAUUCUUCCAUUAGCUACCAAAGUUCGGAUAAAGUGAUAUUGCACAUCAAUGUGCUUAGUUCUCCUAUGAAAGGAGGGAUUCUUAACCAUAGCAAUUGCUGAUUUACUAUCAGAAAAAAUCUCAGUAGACUCCGUUUGCUCGUAACUAAAAUCUCCAAGUAGUUUGUGGAGCCAUAAAGCUUGUCGUGCUGCUAAACUUACUGUUGUAUAAUCUGCCUAAGAUGUCGACAAAGCUACUAUCUCCUACUUUCUUGAACUUCAUGUCACAGCUCUGAAACAAAAUUUGAAACAACUUCCAGAAGUGCUUUUUUGGUCAUCCAAGAAGACUCAUAAUCACUGUCAGUAAAGCCAACCAAUUUGAAAUUUGGUGCUUUAGAAUACCAUAUACCAAAGUCAGCUGUUUCAGCCACAUAACGAAGAAUUCGUUUCACAAUACCAAAAUGUUGCUUUGUGGGGCUUUGCAAUAAUCUGGACAUAGCACUAACAAAAAGUGCAUUGCCAGGUCUAGUGUGCAUUAGAUAAUUCAAGCCACCAACUAAACUUCUAUACAAUUUUGUACUUGCUUUCUCAUUUCUAUCUGCACGCUCCAACUUUUCAUUUAUAUUCAUCGGUGUAGCUUCUGCUUCACAGUUCAUCAUAUGGAAUUUUUUCAGAAGAUCCUCUACUUAUUUCAUUUGAGAAAUAAAAAUUCCAUCUUUAUCUUGGAUCACCUCAAGCCCCAAGAAAUAUUUCAGUAAGCCCAGGUCAGACAUGUCAAAGUUUCUCAUCAUACUGGACUUAAAAUCAUUAACUAAAGACUUUGAGGAACCAAAGUAAAUCAUAUCAUCAACAUAGAGACAAACCACCAAAAAUUCUCCAUUACCUUGUUUCUUCAAGUACAAAGUUGGCUCAUUUUCACUUCUUGUGAAUAUGCUAUCCUGAAAGAAUGACUCAAUUUUACUAUACCACGCACGUGGAGCUUGCUUCAGCCCGUAAAGAGCUUUUCUAACUUGUAGAGUUUGUUCUCAUUGCCAUUAAUAACAAAGCCCUGAGGUUGUGAAACAUAAACAUCUUCUUCCAGAUCACCAUUCAAAAAACGGACUUCACAUCAAAUUGAACACGAGCAAACAUAAUUGUGCAGCUAAAGCCAAAAGAACUCUCAUUGUUUCAAAUCGUGCAACAGGAGAAAAAGUUUCUUCAAAAUCUAUACCUUGUUGUUGUGAAUAUCCUUUUUUCACGAGCCGAGUUGUAUGCUUUUGAAUGCUCCCAUGAUAAUUGUACUUUGUUCGAAACACCCAUUUGAGCCCUAUUACAUUCUUUCCUUCAUGUGCAUCAACUAACUCCAAUGUAGAGUUUCUUUCAAUUGCUUGAAUCUCUUCAGUCAUAGCAUCCUUCCAUUCAAAUUGUUCUAUUGCUUCUUCAUAACAAACAUGAUCUAAAACAAGCAAAACAAAUUGAAAAGAAGUAUUUACACUAUUAGAGUACUUAGGAUUCAAUUUAUUUCCCCUUGUUGAUCUUCUAAGUGGAAUCGGCUCAACAGAAGACACGUCAGGUGCAAAAGUUGUUGAUGGUGCAAUUGAUGAGCUAACAGAUGAACUUAAAGGAAAAAAAUUGGUUGAAUUUCCAGAAUCUACUGCAUGUUCUUCAUCAGUAGAUAGCAAUCGGAUGUUGGAUAUCAUGUUCUCAGAAUUAAAGUUCCAACUUGCAUCCUCAUUUAACACAACAUUUCUAUUUAUAAUCACUUUGACACUUAUGGGAUUAUACAGACGAUAUGCUUUGGAUUGAAGACUAUAGCCAACAAAAUGCAUUUUCUAGAUAUUUCAUCAAGCUUAGAGUGAAAAUUAACCAUAGCAUAUGCUAUAAAACUAAAGAUUCUUAAGUGGCUUACCCGAGGCUUCUUACCAUUCCAAGCUUCAAGAGGUGUUGUGUUCCAAACAACCUUUGUUGGUGAGAUAUUCAUGUUGGGAUAUACUAUUAACCAUAUGGUUGAGUUAUAGUAUUGAUUUUAGUCCUUCAUAAAGACUUUACAUUUUAUGUUAAUUGUUACAAUAAAGUUUUUGUUUGAAUAGAUCAUUGUGUUUAUAUGUGUGUCCAUUGCUUAUAUAGUAUACAAUUUUUGGGUAUGGAGUUCCUUAACUCAUACGCGGAAGAUUAAAAUUGUCGGUUCUUAUAAGUCAUAAAUUAAAUGUUCACAAUCAAAGAUGAAAUUGGACAAGCAUCUUGAUGAUUGUACCACAAGAUUAAAAGUAAUUCAAUCUUAAUUAUGGGAAUGGUAAAAUUCCAACUUCUUGUGUUAGUACAUUUUGCAUGUAUUGAACGGACCAAAUUCAGAUAUGCAUUUAGGUUCUGAAUUUCAAUAAAUAAUAUCUCUAGUCCAAUACAUGAGCUUAUACUCUUAAUCUUGAUGUAGUUAUUAAGAUCUGUGUUGUUUGCUUUAUUAUUUUCAUCUAUUAAAAGGUGAGACUCUAUGAUGAGUCAAAAAAAUUCCUAAUGGAUUGGAUAAUAAAAAUUACAUUCAUGAAUUAAUAAUUAGCUGAUAGAACCAUAUCUCGGAUAUGAGAAAGAAGACACCCCUUUAUGGUUGCUUAUAAGUAGUCACGUGAAAACCCUGCAGGUGGAUUAUAUAUGUAUAUCCUUCACGUGAAUUAAUUUAAGCAUAAAGAUAAAGGAUUAAAUUAAUCAAUGGAUUAAAUUUUUCAGAAGUUUAAUUUAAUUGAUUGGUGUCGGUAAUUCUAACAUGGGGAGUUAAAUAAGUUGUAACGAAAAAAAAAUUGUAAUUAAAUAGAGGAAUGCAGUUGCAGAUUUUUAGUAGUACAAUCUGUGAUUUAUUAUGAUAUGGUUAAUUCAUGUUUUUUACGAAUUAAAUAUUAUAAUUGGAAGCCUCUGCUAAUAAAUUUGUGGUCCCUACUAUGCCUGAUUAAUUGAUCGAGUUCGAAAAAGAAAAGGACUAUUAGUAUGUUUUUUUCAGCUUAGGAAUAAAUUGUUUUUGACUUUUAUUAGUUUAAAAGAGAAAAACUUUUUCUUUCCUUAAAAGAAGAAAAAAGAAAUUACAGCAAUGUUUUAUUUCCUUAGAAGAUGAAAGAAACAAAUAAUAGUGUUUAAUGGUUAUUAGUGGCUAUUAAUGGUGUUAAUGGUUGUUGAUUACCCUUAGUGUUUAAUGACUUUCUAAAUACACUUAAUGAUAUUUAGUGGUUAUUGAUAACUAUUGAUCAUGGUUGUUAGAUACUCUUAACCAUGUCAAAAUACACUUAAUGGUAUUUAAUGGUUGUUGAUGACUAUUGAUCAUGGUUAUUGGAUACACUUAACAGUGUCCAAAUACACCUAAAGAUAUUUAAUGACUAUUAAUGACCAUUAAUUAUAACUAGAAACAUUUUUAUCUUUCAAACCUUUCCCUUGUACUGAAAAGUAUAAAUAGGGGUGGUGGUUCUCAAGGAAAUAAUAUCUUUUUUCUGAAAAUUUCUUGCCCACACAAGACUUUAUUAAGAAAGUUGGUCAGGAAUUAGUAGAAGACUGCAAUUCUGGAGUCCCGGUCCCUGAACGAGUUGUGUGAAAGCUACAAAAGGUUAGAGUUUCACAAAUUAUUUAGAUUACAUUAUUAUGCUUUUAUGUAAGUUUGUGAUUCUGAAAAAUGCUUUCGCUGUGCAUAUUCUAACAAUUGGUAUCACGAGUCUUCUUACAUAUAACUGAUUAUGUAAUAAGAGUCCAUGAUUUUGAUACAUAUUUGAUUAAAUCUGUUUAUAUCAUGAUGUACUUUUGAUGAACAUUUUUUUGUUGUUUAAAAAAAAAAGUGUUUUGUAUUCCAGAGUUGUAAGGGUUCAUUCCUACCUCUAAUAAAUGAUUUUAACAACUAUUAUAAGAGUUUAUAUGUUGACAUAGGUCUUCUUCCUCAUCGGAUAAACUUGUAUAUUUUGAUACUGUUAUGUUUGUCUUUUGAUUUGAUGACUUGUUUUAACUUUCCAACUAAGUUGCAUGUUGAAUCAAUGAACAACAUACAAUAUAUAUACCUGACUAAACUUCACAAAUUACUUUCUAACUGAGUUGGACUUGUAUUGUUUAAGUGGUAUUAUAUAUAUGAACUUGCUCAUAUAUUUGCUUGAACAGUUAAGUUUCCCUAUCGAUUCUAAUUGUUCAUUAGCAUGAUUAUAUGUGUCUUGUUUUGUUAUUUUUUAUUUUUUUAUUUUUUAAAGAACAUGUUACUAAUGAUCUAUUUUAAAUAUCUCUCAGAUUAACUAUGUCUCACUUCAAUCCUCUGUCCUCUAUCUUGAACCAAAGCAAACUGGAAGGUCCUAGCUAUGUGGACUGGAAAUGAAACCUUGAUAUUGUUCUAACAUCUGAGGGUUUCAAAUAUGUGUUGGUUGAAGAAUUCCCCAUUAAACCAGCAGAUGCUACUGAUGAGGAGAUUAAGGCCUAUGAGAAAUGGGUCAAGGCUGAUGAGAUGGCAAGGUGCUACAUUCUUGCCUCAAUAUCGAAUGUCUUGCAGCAUCAACAUCAGUCUAUGAAACUGCUUACGAUAUGCUCGAAUCUCUCAAAGAGAUGUUCGAAGAGCAAAAUCGUGCUGCCAAGCAGACUGCCAUGAAGGCUAUCUUGACCACCAAAAUGGUUGAAGGAUCACCUGUCAAGGAUCAUGUGCUGAACAUGAUGAGUUAUCUGAAUUAGCUGGAGAUACUUGGCUCUGCUAUUGAUAAGGAAUCUCAGGUUGAGAUGAACCUACAGACUCUGCCGGAGAGUUUUCAACAGUUUCUCUUGAAUUAUAAUAUGAACAAGAUGGAUUUGUCUCUUGCGAAAUUGUUGAAUGAACUGACAGCGGCAGAAUCCAUUAUCAAACAGCAACCUCCUCCCUCUGUAGCAUACAUGGUGGGCAAACAUGUCGCUUCUUUGUCUAAACCGGCUAAAUCCCAAAAGAAGAAGAAGAAGUCGUGCAAGGUUGUGUCACCUGGAGGUGCUACAGGUGGUGUGGCUAAGCCUAAGGGCAAGUGCUACCACUGCAAGCAGCCUGGUCAGCACAAGAGGCAAUGCCCUGACUAUCCAGCCAAAAUGAAGAACAAAGGUAAUUCUUGUUUAAAUGUCGUUGAAACCUUUUUAGCAGCUGUUUCUACCCAAUUAUGGGCUGUAGAUUCAGGAGCCACUGACCAUGUCUGCACUUCUUUGCAGGUGUUUCAGGAAACGCGGCGGCUAAGUGAGAAUGAAGUUUGUAUUUUUCAGGCGAAUGGGGAACCAACACCAGUCCUAGCAAUAGGAAAUAUCUCUUUUUCUUUUAGUAGUUCCAGAAUUCUGUUUUUAAAAGAUGUUCUGUAUGUACCUUCGAUAAGAAGGAAUUUGCUUUCAGUUUCAAAAAUAAUGGAUGUUGGUUAUGAUGUUUUAUUUGCAAAUAAUUGUGUUGUUAUUAAGUAUGAUAAGCAAUUCAUCCAUAGUGCUCCUAAAAUACAUCAUCUCUUUGUAUUUGAAGUCUCCCAUGACAUGCUACACCAUAAUGAAUUAAAUAAUAUUGAUAUUUCUUAUAAAAGAAAACGUAUUUCUGAAUUGAGUCAAACUUACUUAUGGCACUUACGUCUAUGUCAUAUCAAAAUAAAUAGGAUUUCAAGGUUGGUUUCUAAUGGACCUCUGAGUUCAUUGAAAGUGGAGGCACUACCAACCUGUGAAUCUUGUUUAGAAGGUAAAAUGACAAAGAGACGUUUCCCUUCCAAAGGAAAUAGAGCCAGUAAUAAGUUAGAAUUAAUUCAUUCUGAUUUGUGCGGUCCUAUGAAUAUACGAGCAAGAGGGGUUUUUUGAGUAUUUUGUGACUUUCACAGAUGACUACUCAAAAUAUGGAUACAUUUAUUUGUUGCGCCACAAAUCUGAAUGCUUUGAGAGGUUCAAAGAAUUCAAGAUAGAAACGGAAAAGCGACAUGGUAAACAUAUCCAAACGAUCAGAUCAUGGUGGUGAAUACCUUUCGGCAGAAUUCAUUAAGUACUUAUCAGAAUCGGGCAUUACAUCUCAAUAUUCUCCCCCAGGAACACCACAAUAAAAUGGUGUGGCAAAACGAAGAAAUAGAACUCUUUUGGAAAUGGUUAGAUCAAUGUUAAGUUAUUCAGAUUUGUCUUUUAGCUUUUGGGGAUAUGCCUUAGAAACUGCAAAUUACAUUCUGAAUUUGGUUCCUUCCAAAUAUGUUCCUUUAACCCCAUCCAAAUUGUGGAAUGGGCGCAAGCCUAGUCUAUGGCAUAUUCGAGUUUGGGGAUGUCCAACACAUGUAUUAAAAGGGAAAACAAGUAAGUUGGAAUCAAGGACAGAAGUGUGCAUUUUCAUUGGAUAUCCAAAAGGAACUAAAGGAGGUUUAUUUUAUUAUCCUAAGGAACAAAAGGUAAUUGUUUCAACAAAUGCCAAGUUUCUGGAACAAGACUAUUUAAUUAACCAUGUUCCUAGAAGUAAACUUGUGUUACAGGAACUAAGCAAAUGAAUACCUACUAAUGAAACAUCAACACAACUACCUAAAACAAUUGUUGACAUACCAUUGCAUCCACAUAGUGGGAGGAAUGUCGAUCGAAAAGAGGUUGCUCAAGAGGAUGCUCUAGAGGUUGCUCAAAAGCAGACUCAAGACAUCUCGCUACCACAACGUAGUGGGAGUAAUGUCGCGCAACCUGACAUUGUGGAGGAAGUACUUCAGAAUUUUCAUAAUUUAGUUCAAGAUGUAGCAAAUCAUGUAGUUGCUAGUCGUCGUCGUGGUAGAGUUAUUAGAAAACCACAAAGGUUUAUGCUCUUGGGAGAAUCAUACGAUAGAAUCCCUGAAGAGACUAAUAUAGAACCAUUAAAUUACGCCGAAGCACUACAUGAUAAAGAUGCUGAAAUGUGGGUUGUUGCUAUGAAAUCUGAAAUGGAAUCUAUGUACUCAAACCAAGUCUGGGAUCUUGUGGAACCACCAAUAGGUGUUAAAUUUAUUGGUUGUAAGUGGAUCUACAAGAAAAAAAGAGGUGUGGAUGGAAAAUUGAAAACUUUUAAGGCUCGGCUUGUUGCGAAAGGGUUUAUUCAAAAAAAAGGAAUUGAUUAUGAGGAAACUUUUUCGCCUAUAGCCAUGCUUAAAUUCAUUAGGAUUCUGAGAUUUGGAAAAUGGAUGUCAAGACAACUUUUUUAAACGGAAGUCUUGAAAAGUGCAUUUAUAUGGCACAACCAGAAGGUUUCAUGGUAAAUGGAAAUGAACACAUGGUUUGUAAACUUAAGAGAUCCAUUUAUAGAUUGAAACAGGCAUCUCGGGCAUGGAACAUUUGUUUUGACAAUUCGAUUAAAACUUGUGGUUUUGAUCAGUUUGAAAAUGAAUCAUGCAUCUAUAAGAAAUGGGAGGGAGACAGAGUAACAUUUUUUAUUCUGUACGUAGAUGACAUCUUGCUCAUAGGAAAUAAUGCGAGCAUGUUGAAUUCUGUUAAAGAGUGGUUGUCGUCGCGUUUUGAUAUGAAAGACUUGGGAUUAAGCUUUUUCGAGAUCGCAAACAAAGGAUAUUAGGCUUGUCUCAAGCACUUUAUAUUGAUACUAUUCUUGCGAGGUUUAGCAUGCAAAAUUCCAAAAAGGGGUUUCUUCCUUUUAGACAUGGAAUUAAUUUAUCAAAGGACCAGUCACCUAAAACGACCGACGAGAUAGAAAGGAUGAAGGCGGUAGGCAUGGUUAGCAGAUUUCAGUCUAACCCUGGGCAAGAACAUUGGACUGCAGUCAAGCAUAUCAUCAAGUACCUUAAAAGGACUAGGGAUUAUAUGCUUGUUUUCCACCCUGGCAAUCUUGUACCUAUUGGAUAUACAAAUUCAGAUUUCCAGUUAGAUAGAGAUUCUAGAAAAACAAACUCAGGAUAUGUAUUUACUCUAGGAGGUGGAGCCAUAGUUUGGAGGAGCAUAAAGCAAUCUUGUGUUGCUGAUUCCACCAUGGAAGCUGAAUAUAUAACUGCAUCUGAGGCGGCUAAAGAGGUUGUUUGGCUCAGAAACUUUCUAAAAGAGCUCGAAGUGGUUCCUUCUAUUGAAGCACCAAUUACACUCUAUUGUGAUAAUAGUGGUGCAGUUGCCAACUCAAAAGAACCACGAAGCCAUAAAAGGAGUAAGCACAUUGAGAGGAAAUAUCACUUGAUUCGUGAUAUAACUCAAAGGGGUGAUGUAAGAGUUUUGAAGAUUAAAUCGAAGAACAAUUUGGCGGAUCCAUUUACCAAAGCCUUACCUCAGAAGUCUUUUGAUAAGCAUGUGGAUGAAAUAGCUGUUAAAAUUGUACAUGCAUGGUUAUGAGUCUAAGUGGGAGAUUGUUGGGAUAUACUAUUAACCAUAUGGUUGAGUUAUAGUACUGAUUUUAAUCCUUUAUAAAGACUUUAUGUUUUAUGUUAAUUGUUACAAUAAAGUUUUUGUUUGAAUAGAUCAUUGCGUUUAUAUGUGUGUCCAUUGCUUAUCUAGUAGACAAUUUUUGGGUAUGGAGUUGCUUAACUCAUGCGCGGAAGAUUAAAAUUGUCGGUUCUUAUAAGUCAUAAAUUAUAUGUUCACGUCAAAGAUGAAAUUGGACAAACAUCUUGAUGAUUGUAACACAAGAUUAAAAGUAAUUCAAUCUUAAUUAUGGGAAUGGUAAAAUUCCAACUUCUUGUGUUAGUACAUUUUGCAUGUAUUGAACGGACCAAAUUGAGAUAUGCAUUUAGGUUCUGAAUUUCAAUAAAUAAUAUCUCUAGUCCAUUACAUGAGCUUAUACUCUUAAUCUUGAUGUAGUUAUUAAGAUCUGUGUAGUUUGCUUUAUUAUUUUCAUCUAUUAAAAGGUGAGACUCUAUGAUGAGUCAAAAAAUUCCUAAUGGAUUGGAUAAUAAAAAUUACAUUCAUGAAUUAAUAAUUAGCUGAUAGAACCAUAUCUCGGAUAUGAGAAAGAAGACACCCCUUUAUGGUUGCUUAUAAGUAGUCACGUGAAAACCCUGCAGGUGGAUUAUAUAUGUAUAUCCGUCACAUGUAUUAAUUUAAGCAUAAAGAUAAAGGAAUAAAUUAAUCAAUGGAUUAAAUUUUUCAGAAGUUUAAUUUAAUUGAUUGGUGUCGGUAAUUCUAACAUGGGGAGUUAAAUAAGUUGUAACGAAAAAAAAAUUGAAAUUUAAUAGAAGAGUGCAGUUGCAGAUUUUUAGUGGUACAAUCUGUGAUUUAUUAUGAUAUGGUUAAUUCAUGCUUUUUACGAAUUAAAUAUUAUAAUUGGAAGCCUCUGCUAAUAAAUUUGUGGUCCCUACUAUGCCUGAUUAAUUGAUCGAGUUCGGAAAAGAAAAGGACUGUUAGUAUUUUUUUUCAACUUAGAAAUAAAUUGUUUUUGACUUUUAUUAGUUUAAAAGAGAAAAACUUUUUCUUUCCUUAAAAGAAGAAAAAAAGAAAAUACUGCAAUGUUUUAUUUCCUUAGAAGAUGAAAGAAACAAAUAAUAGUGUUUAAUGGUUAUCAGUGGCUAUUAAUGGUGUUUAAUGGUUGUUGAUUACCCUUGGUGUUUAAUGACUUUCUAAAUACACUUAAUGAUAUUUAGUGGUUGUUGAUAACUAUUGAUCAUGGUUGUUAGAUACUCUUAACCAUGUCAAAAUACACUUAAUGGUAUUUAAUGGUUGUUGAUGACUAUUGAUCAUGGUUAUUGGAUACACUUAACAGUGUCCAAAUACACCUAAAGGUAUUUAAUGACUAUUAAUGACCAUUAAUUAUGACUAGAAACAUUUCAUCUUUCAAACCUUUCCCUUAUACUGAAAAGUAUAAAUAGGGGUGGUGGUUCUCAAGGAAAUAAUAUCCUUUUUCUGAAAAUAUCUUGCCCACACAAGACUUGAUUAAGAAAGUUGGUCAGGAAUUAGUUGAAGAUUGCAAUUCUGGAGUCCCAGUCCCUGAACGAGUUGUGUGAAAGCUACAAAAGGUUAGAGUUUCACAAAUUAUUUAGAUUACAUUAUUAUGCUUUUAUGUAAGUUUGUGAUUCUGAAAAAUGCUUCCGUUGUGCAUAUUCUAACAAUUCAAAAGAAAAACAUCAAUUGCAACAGCUUCUCCCCAAAAAUAAUCUGGCAGACCCUUUGCUUUUGGUGAACUUCGAGCCAUUUCCACCACCGUCCUAUUCUUCUGCUCAACCACACCAUUCUACUCCCGUGUAUAUGGCGUUGUAAGUUCCUUGUGAAUUCCAUUCUCAUCACAGAACAAAUUAAAAUCAUUAGACAAGAAUUCACCACCUCUAUCGAUAUAGAGUGAUUUUAUCAUGUUACCACUUUGAUUCUCUACAAAUGUCUUAAAUUUCUUGAAAUUCUCAGAGGUUUCAGAUUUGAAUUUCAAGAAAUAAACCUAACUAAAGCGGCUGUAAUCAUGAGUAAACAUAAAAAAAA
Molecule: long non-coding RNA, 44211 nt
Filed under: Solanum tuberosum (potato)
Lineage: Eukaryota; Viridiplantae; Streptophyta; Magnoliopsida; Solanales; Solanaceae
Description: long non-coding RNA (STUB_LNC009906)
Source: RNAcentral